AGGUGUGUUGAGAAGCAUGCUGGAGGUAUCAGAAGUGCGAAUGCUGACGUGAGUAACGACAAAACGGGUGAAAAACCCGUUCGCCGAAAGACCAAGGGUUCCAGUCCAACGUUAAUCGGGGCUGGGUGAGUCGACCCCUAAGGCGAGGCCGAAAGGCGUAGUCGAUGGGAAAAUGGUUAAUAUUCCAUUACUUCUGUGUAAUGCGAUGAGAGGACGGAGAAGGCUAAAUCAGCCUGGCGUUGGUUGUCCAGGUGAAAGGAUGUAGGCAUGUAUCUUAGGCAAAUCCGGGGUACUCUAUGCUGAGAUCUGAUAGCAAGCUGUACUUGUACAGCGAAGUGGUUGAUGCCAUGCUUCCAGGAAAAGUCUCUAAGCUUCAGUUACACAGGAAUCGUACCCGAAACCGACACAGGUGGUCAGGUCGAGUAGACCAAGGCGCUUGAGAGAACUCUGCUGAAGGAACUAGGCAAAAUGGUACCGUAACUUCGGGAGAAGGUACGCUGUUGUUGGUGAUGGAACUCGCUUCCUGAGCUGACGACAGCCGCAGAAACCAGGCCGCUGCAACUGUUUAUUAAAAACAUAGCACUCUGCAAACACGAAAGUGGACGUAUAGGGUGUGAUGCCUGCCCGGUGCUGGAAGGUUAAUUGAUGGGGUUAGCGUAAGCGAAGCUCUUGAUCGAAGCCCCAGUAAACGGCGGCCGUAACUAUAACGGUCCUAAGGUAGCGAAAUUCCUUGUCGGGUAAGUUCCGACCUGCACGAAUGGCAUAAUGAUGGCGGCGCUGUCUCCAGCAGAGGCUCAGUGAAAUCGAAAUCGCUGUGAAGAUGCAGUGUACCCGCGGCUAGACGGAAAGACCCCGUGAACCUUUACUGCAGCUUGACACUGAACUUUGACCUUACUUGUGUAGGAUAGGUGGGAGGCUUUGAAGCUGGAACGCUAGUUCCAGUGGAGCCGUCCUUGAAAUACCACCCUGGUAAUGUUGAGGUUCUAACUCUGUCCCGUGAUCCGGGACGAGGACCGUGUCUGGUGGGUAGUUUGACUGGGGCGGUCUCCUCCUAAAGAGUAACGGAGGAGUACGAAGGUGCGCUCAGCGUGGUCGGAAAUCACGCGUAGAGUAUAAAGGCAAAAGCGCGCUUAACUGCGAGACCCACAAGUCGAGCAGGUACGAAAGUAGGUCUUAGUGAUCCGGUGGUUCUGUAUGGAAGGGCCAUCGCUCAACGGAUAAAAGGUACUCUGGGGAUAACAGGCUGAUACCGCCCAAGAGUUCAUAUCGACGGCGGUGUUUGGCACCUCGAUGUCGGCUCAUCUCAUCCUGGGGCUGAAGCAGGUCCCAAGGGUAUGGCUGUUCGCCAUUUAAAGAGGUACGCGAGCUGGGUUUAGAACGUCGUGAGACAGUUCGGUCCCUAUCUACCGUGGGCGCUGGAAAUUUGAGAGGAUCUGCUCCUAGUACGAGAGGACCAGAGUGGACGAACCUCUGGUGUACCGGUUGUGACGCCAGUCGCAUCGCCGGGUAGCUAUGUUCGGAAGGGAUAACCGCUGAAAGCAUCUAAGCGGGAAGCCUACCUCAAGAUAAGAUUUCCCUAGGACUUUAUGUCCUCUAAAGAGCCGUUCGAGACUAGGACGUUGAUAGGUUGGAUGUGGAAGCAUAGUGAUAUGUGAAGCUGACCAAUACUAAUUGCUCGUGAGGCUUGACUAU
This 1692-nucleotide ribosomal RNA is filed under the name Acinetobacter baumannii 1046051. RNAcentral describes it as "bacterial LSU rRNA". It matches the Rfam family "Bacterial large subunit ribosomal RNA", at positions 1254 to 2925 of the family's 2925-position model. Lineage: Bacteria; Pseudomonadati; Pseudomonadota; Gammaproteobacteria; Moraxellales; Moraxellaceae. The record is from RNAcentral.